Molecule: ribosomal RNA, 377 nt
Filed under: uncultured delta proteobacterium
Lineage: Bacteria; Deltaproteobacteria
Description: bacterial SSU rRNA
Rfam family: Bacterial small subunit ribosomal RNA
Source: RNAcentral
UAAUACGGAGGGUGCAAGCGUUGUUCGGAAUCACUGGGCGUAAAGCGCGUGUAGGCGGUUUUUUAAGUCGGAUGUGAAAUCCCUCGGCUCAACCGAGGACGUGCAUCCGAUACUGGAAAACUUGAGUAUCGGAGGGGAUGGCGGAAUUCCUGGUGUAGAGGUGAAAUUCGUAGAUAUCAGGAGGAACAUCUGUGGCGAAGGCGGCCAUCUGGAAGAUAACUGACGCUGAGACGCGAAAGCGUGGGGAGCAAACAGGAUUAGAUACCCUGGUAGUCCACGCCGUAAACGAUGGGUGCUAGAUGUUGCGGGUAUUGACCCCUGCAGUGUCGUAGCUAACGCGUUAAGCACCCCGCCUGGGGAGUACGGUCGCAAGAUUA